RNAcentral lists this small RNA (645 nucleotides) under Pan troglodytes (chimpanzee). Its description in RNAcentral is "retained intron". Lineage: Eukaryota; Metazoa; Chordata; Mammalia; Primates; Hominidae. The record is from RNAcentral.
AUAUAAUGUUAAAAAAAAAAAAAAAACGAGAGCCCCAAAGCAGAUAAAUGGAUUACAUACAUUGUCAGUGUACGUUAAUGUGUUUAAUUGUUUGGGACAGCAUUUCUCCAACUUUCAUUGUCUGAAAAUCCUCCUCUGGUAAUAAGUUCUUUUUUUCUCAUUUAGGAAAAUUGUAGCUGAAUAUGAAAAGACUAUUGCUCAAAUGAUUGAAGAUGAACAAAGGACAAGUAUGACCUCUCAGAAGAGCUUCCAGCAACUGACCAUGGAGAAGGAACAGGCCCUGGCUGACCUUAACUCUGUGGAAAGGUCCCUUUCUGAUCUCUUCAGGAGAUAUGAGAACCUGAAAGGUGUUCUGGAAGGGUUCAAGAAGAAUGAAGAAGCCUUGAAGAAAUGUGCUCAGGAUUACUUAGCCAGAGUUAAACAAGAGGAGCAGCGAUACCAGGCCCUGAAAAUCCACGCAGAAGAGAAACUGGACAAGUAAGAGCUUGUAAAUUUUGAAUUUCACUGUUCAUGAUGUUGUGGGAAGAUUGAGAGAGGAAAAAAAAAUCACUGUUUCGCAACUCCAGGUUGUAUUUUUAUGUGUGUGUUUAUUUCACUUUUUAAACCCUUUUCCCAUUGUUAAAACAUUAAAAAGUAAAAAAAGGU